UAGUGUACCUUGCGCCGAGUUGAUAGUCUUUUGUUUUUUUUGAAGUUAUGUUUACAAACGUGUUUCGUGGGGCGAAAAGUAAAUUCCCGGUGCUGUGAACUGAAGCCCAAAUGACAUAUCUAGCUUUUGAGGAAGGCUUUGUAUUUUAACAACUAAAAGGAGAAAAAGGACAACCAACCAUGGGACCUAUUCAGAAGUCAUUGAAAUAAGUUUUCCGUAUCUCUUAGUGAAAAUGUAUAUAAUAUAAGUAUUAAGACAAACAAAAAAUCAUCCUCAGAUGUAUUUCUUUAAUUUUUAAGACUUUUCCACUUGUUCAUUUGACUUAAUAAAAGUUUCCUAUUUCAAAA
This is a non-coding RNA of Bemisia tabaci, 347 nucleotides long. Lineage: Eukaryota; Metazoa; Arthropoda; Insecta; Hemiptera; Aleyrodidae. The record is from RefSeq and is a predicted model, not a curated record.